ACAGAGGGUGCAAACGUUGUUCGGAAUCACUGGGCGUAAAGCGCGUGUAGGCGGCUGCGCAAGUCGGGCGUGAAAUCCCGUGGCUCAACCACGGAAGUGCACCCGAAACUGCGUAGCUGGAGUCUCGGAGAGGAAGAUGGAAUGCUUGGUGUAGAGGUGAAAUUCGUAGAUAUCAAGCGGAACACCAGUGGCGAAGGCGACCUUCUGGACGAUGACUGACGCUGAGACGCGAAAGCGUGGGGAGCAAACAGGG
Molecule: ribosomal RNA, 253 nt
Filed under: uncultured prokaryote
Description: partial 16S ribosomal RNA
Rfam family: Bacterial small subunit ribosomal RNA
Source: RNAcentral